UGCUGACUUACAGUAACACCUUGGCUGCCUGCUAUAGGACAUACAGAAGAGGAGAUCGGCAGUGACAGGAAAUGAAAGUUAUGAAUCUGCAUGACUUCCUGAAAACUAUUCUCGACACAUGGUGUUGCAGGUUGCGACUGCUUGGGCAGCAAUCCCCAACUUGUCUGCUGAGACUGCACAACAGCUGACAGCUGCCUGUGGAAUGAAAGCAAAGGCCAGCUUCUCAGAGGUGCCAUGGAUGUCACCACAGAGAAGUUGUGGGAGUUUGGAAUUGCUGUGGUACAGGUGGUGAAGGCAAAUGCAGCGACCGAAAGGAGAUCGGAGACGAUGUGGCCGUCAUUGAGGAUGCCUCCUGAGGACAGAUGACGAAUUGCCACGGCUGAAGUUGAAGAGACCAGAAAAACGUAAGCAAGCUGAGGUGCGAAAACCACGUGGAACCAGGCGAGAGCCGUCUCCGUCUCCCACAAACGAAAGCCGUCCUUCCUGACUAGGAAGGCUCACUGUUAGUAGCGAUCGCAAUAAUAGAUCACAGACGUAUAACGAAGGUCUGU
Long non-coding RNA from Rhea pennata, 551 nucleotides. RefSeq lists it as uncharacterized. The record is from RefSeq and is a predicted model, not a curated record. NCBI's taxonomy places the organism in Eukaryota, Metazoa, Chordata, Aves, Rheiformes, Rheidae. The transcript has 5 exons.